AAUGAACGUUGGCGGCAUGGAUUAGGCAUGCAAGUCGAGCGAGAAGACUUAGAUUGACGCUUCGGUUGAUUUCUAAGUUGGACAGCGGCGAAAGGGAGAGUAACGCGUAGUUAUCUGCCCCGAGGUCCGGAAUAGCCAUGGGAAACUGUGGGUAAUGCCGGAUAACAUCCCCGGAUCAAAGGUGUGAUUCCGCCUCGGGAGGGGACUGCGUUGUACUAGCUUGUUGGUGGGGUAAUGGCCUACCAAGGCGAUGAUGCAUAGCGGGCGUGAGAGCGUGGCCCGUCUCACUGGGACUGAGACACUGCCCAGACACCUACGGGUGGCUGCAGUCGAGAAUCUUCGGCAAUGGACGAAAGUCUGACCGAGCAAUGCCGCGUGCGGGAUGAAGGCCCUCGGGUUGUAACCGCGAAAGUGAGGAGGGACCCGUGAAGAGCGGGUUUGACCGGAUCCACAGUAAGGACGGGCUAAGUUCGUGCCAGCCGCCGCGGUAA
This 491-nucleotide ribosomal RNA is filed under the name uncultured bacterium. Its description in RNAcentral is "bacterial SSU rRNA". It matches the Rfam family "Bacterial small subunit ribosomal RNA", at positions 29 to 523 of the family's 1533-position model. The record is from RNAcentral.